Non-coding RNA from Crepidotus variabilis, 103 nucleotides. The record is from the annotation of a GenBank genome assembly. NCBI's taxonomy places the organism in Eukaryota, Fungi, Basidiomycota, Agaricomycetes, Agaricales, Crepidotaceae.
GCCCGCCUAGCUCAAUCGGAUAGAGCGUCAGACUUUUAAGACUGACCUUGUGUGUUAGGCUAAGGCGAUCUGAAGGCUGCGAGUUCGACCCUCGCGGUGGGCU